This 438-nucleotide ribosomal RNA is filed under the name uncultured bacterium. Its description in RNAcentral is "partial 16S ribosomal RNA". It matches the Rfam family "Bacterial small subunit ribosomal RNA", at positions 339 to 795 of the family's 1533-position model. The record is from RNAcentral.
CUACGGGUUGCUGCAGUGAGGAAUAUUGCACAAUGGGGGGAACCCUGAUGCAGCAACGCCGCGUGGAGGGUGACGCAUUUCGGUGUGUAAACUCCUUUUAUAUGUCAAGAAAAUGACGGUAGCAUAUGAAUAAGCACCGGCUAACUCCGUGCCAGCAGCCGCGGUAAUACGGAGGGUGCAAGCGUUACUCGGAAUCACUGGCGUAAAGGACGCGUAGGCGGGUUGGAAAGUCAGGUGUGAAAUCCUACAGCUUAACUGUAGAACUGCACUUGAAACUUCUAAUCUAGAGUAUGGGAGGGGGAGAUGGAAUUAGUGGUGUAGGGGUAAAAUCCGUAGAUAUCACUAGGAAUACCUAAAGCGAAGGCGAUCUCCUGGAACAUUACUGACGCUAAGGCGUGAAAGCGUGGGGAGCAAACAGGAUUAGAUACCCUAGUAGUC